RNAcentral lists this ribosomal RNA (460 nucleotides) under uncultured bacterium. RNAcentral's name for it is "partial 16S ribosomal RNA". It matches the Rfam family "Bacterial small subunit ribosomal RNA", at positions 338 to 795 of the family's 1533-position model. The record is from RNAcentral.
CCUACGGGAGGCAGCAGUGAGGAAUAUUGGUCAAUGGACGAGAGUCUGAACCAGCCAAGUAGCGUGAAGGAUGACGGCCCUACGGGUUGUAAACUUCUUUUAUAUGGGAAUAAAACGUUCCACGUGUGGGAUUUUGUAUGUACCAUAUGAAUAAGGAUCGGCUAACUCCGUGCCAGCAGCCGCGGUAAUACGGAGGGUCCGGGCGUUAUCCGGAUUUAUUGGGUUUAAAGGGAGCGUAGGUGGAUUGUUAAGUCAGUUGUGAAAGUUUGGGGCUCAACCCGAAAAUUGCAGUGGAAACUGGCAGGCUUGAGUCCAGGAGAGGCGGGCGGAAUUCGUGGUGUAGCGGUGAAAUGCUUAGAUAUCACGAAGAACUCCGAUUGCGAAGGCAGCUUACUGGACUGCAACUGACACUGAGGCUCGAAAGUGCGGGUAUCAAACAGGAUUAGAUACCCCAGUAGUC